RNAcentral lists this ribosomal RNA (429 nucleotides) under bacterium. Its description in RNAcentral is "partial 16S ribosomal RNA". It matches the Rfam family "Bacterial small subunit ribosomal RNA", at positions 355 to 776 of the family's 1533-position model. The record is from RNAcentral. RNAcentral also lists the same sequence under 1 other name.
UAGGGAAUCUUCCACAAUGGACGCAAGUCUGAUGGAGCAACGCCGCGUGAGUGAAGAAGGUUUUCGGAUCGUAAAGCUCUGUUGUUGGUGAAGAAGGAUAGAGGUAGUAACUGGCCUUUAUUUGACGGUAAUCAACCAGAAAGUCACGGCUAACUACGUGCCAGCAGCCGCGGUAAUACGUAGGUGGCAAGCGUUGUCCGGAUUUAUUGGGCGUAAAGCGAGCGCAGGCGGAAGAAUAAGUCUGAUGUGAAAGCCCUCGGCUUAACCGAGGAACUGCAUCGGAAACUGUUUUUCUUGAGUGCAGAAGAGGAGAGUGGAACUCCAUGUGUAGCGGUGGAAUGCGUAGAUAUAUGGAAGAACACCAGUGGCGAAGGAGACUCUCUGGUCUGCAACUGACGCUGAGGCUCGAAAGCAUGGGUAGCGAACAGG